UCUGUGUGGCACACAAAUGUUCUUAAGGCCAGAAAAGAGGACAAAGAAAGCGAACAGAAAUGGGCGAUGAAGCCAACGGCUAAAUGCUACAACAUUAAACAGAGAAUUCUGCAAAUGGAUUUCUACAGAUGGUAUUUGUAUCUUUCUCUUUAACAUUUAGGUAUAAUUUCAAAGUUAAAUUGUGUGUUUUUCUUUUACUCAAAUCCAAUUUCUUUUGCUACUACGCUCAUGAUGAAUUGUAGCGAACGAUGAUGGUAGAAAAGAUUACGAUCAUAUGAUUAUCGAUAUGUUAAAGGAAAAGGAUUGGUAUGAAAUGAAUCGUAGUAAUCGUAUGAGUAGAAAAACAAAUUGCACACCAGGUGUUCGAUUAUUUGCCAAUACGAGCGAUGAGUUGGUAUAGUUGUGCUAAUUGCUGGUAUACUUGUACUGUACAAGAUUUGAUGCAUUUGCGUUGGUUAAGUGAUGCAUAGUAAUGAACAAUACUAUAAUAUUCAUAGCCUUUGACUAUUAUGAUUAAACAAAUGAAUCCUAAACAUCUAUUUCCUAAUAAACUUCUCAAAAAGGGCUUAACUUUGGUCGUGCUUCCCAGUUCCCAUUGCCUUUUAAGUCUAGCAUACCAGAAAAAACUAACAUGGUGUGUUGUCAUCAUUUUACUUCAAUUCUUGAUUAAUCCUUGUAUAAAAUAUAAAGGUUUUUCAAGAAUUUAUCUGUAAUGCUGAUAGACAAUAAGGAUGAUGAUAAGAUAUAAUGAUAAGUGAUAACCCUAAAGAAUAUUAUCGUGUAAAAUGUGAAAUACAAAACACCAUGUAAUGGAAUUUAUGAUCCUUAAAGUUGAACUUUUUUUAGCUUCAAAAGAUAGGGGACAACCAACUCUUCUUGGGUGGGAAGCGUCGAAUAUCUUGUGAAUUUCAAUUAUGCAGAAUAUUAUAUGAAAAAUAGGAAAUUUUCAAAACAAUAAUGUGAAAUUGUCAACAAGUCAAAAGAGUUGACCAUUUGUGCGCAUGCUCAGUUGCAUCUUGUAAUGUAAGAACUUGAAGAGGUCAUCCUCCACCUUGCUUCUUGUUGUCUAACUUAUUCAUUGAUACUUGAAUACUGCAAUUACAUUCUUAAGAUUCCACAUAAACCAUAUCACCAUAACAUGAAUCCAAUAUUGUUCUUCAAGUUUUGUUUAAUGGGUAGAGGAGGGAAAGUUAAAACUUGACAAACUUAGUGCCUUCUUAUUUAGGAAAUUAAUCCACAUCCUUUUUGGGAAAUAUUCCAAGAUUACAAAUAAUUGAGUGUCUUGAUUUGGGUCAAUGUUAUAUAAAGAAAUAUAUGCAUUUUAGCACAUCUAAUUAUACACAUUAUAGCUGUUGUAGAGAUUUUUCACAUUCUACAAUAUGAGUUUGACUUAAGAUUUGAUGAGAUAAUGUGGUGAAAUGACUUCAAAUUAUUUAUAAUCGUAAAAAAAUGUCUAGAAAUACAAUGACACAAUUUGACAUGUGGAUUUUUUUUAGUUGUAAAGUGUAGGAGGCAAUUGACUCUUCCUUCUCAGAGGCGUCGAAAGAAACAUCUAUUCUAUCCUUUAGUUUUGACAUACUUAUGUGGUUUGACUUUUGACCAUUACACAAUGAAUUAAAAAAAAAAAAAGUAAAUAUGUUUGAUAUUUUGCUGGAAGUCAACAUGUUGACUUUUUGUGUGCUUUUGCUUAUGUAUCUUUAUAAUUCUUGCUCUAAGGAAAUGAUAACUAGUAGAAGUCAGCUCCUAGCUACAGCCAGCUCAUUCAUGUUCUUAUUGUUUAGUGGAAUGCAACUAACUGAUUCACCAAAAGAGUGAAGCCGUUGGAUGAAGAUUGUACAGGUUACAUUGCAUGAUGUACAAGUUGUUAUAGCAGGAUUGAUCUAGAACAAGAAUCGCCCAUGGAAUCGGCCCUAUACCCCAGGAGAAUGACUGUUUGAUUAUUAGAUUCGUAUUAGGUUGGCAAUGACAUAACAAAUCCAUUCCCAAUAUACCCUUUGAAAAGUUGUGACUUUUAGUAUUUUACUAAUUUUCUGACCAAAUUGUUUCUCCGUUUUUUUGUUUAUAUAUUUCCAUUUCUAAUGCCUUGCUAGGUUUGAUAACUUUGUUUGUUCAAAAGAAAUAAUUGAAAUUAAAGAAUUACAAAUAAAACAACAGUAUAAUAAUUAUUUAUAGGUAUAACUCUGGUAAAUUACAAGUUUUGUUAUGCACAAUCUUUUUAUACACUAUUCUAUUCUUGCACAAUUUUGGUCUGUAGAAAAUUGUUUUAAAAAAAAAUGAGGUUUUUAUUUUCAAUUUGAAGUAAAAAAAAUAAUUAAAAACGCGUUACAAACUUUUAAUCCAAUAGAACAAGGACACUUUACUCACGUGGCAUUCUUUUUUUAAUAAAUCCAACCUUAUCCAGAGUUUCAAUCCCAAAAUUGGUGAUGGAGAUGGAAUGAAACAUUACAAUGGAAUAAAUUGAUUACAAAAAAUGAUUUUUUUUUUCUUUUGCGUAGGGGGUAGUAUUUUUCUAUGAUACAUUUGUGUACGCUCUAAACCAUUGAAGUCAAGAAAUCUCUUACACUAUUUUGUAAAUUUUAAAGAUAGCGUUUAGUAAUUUGCUGUUGAUUAUUUUUUGUAAAUUUUGUCGAAUCAAGAAUUUAUUUUUAUGUAUCGAACCUGACCAUUCUAUUAUUACAUUUGAUAAUGGUAAAUUUUAGAAUAUGAUAAGUUAUCUUGCAUUGCCUCUGUCCAGAUUUAUGUUCGGUUUGCAUUGAAGGUGAUAUCUUCACUUAUAGCUUUGAUUCAUCCACUUAAAAACAAUGU
Molecule: non-coding RNA, 2805 nt
Organism: Lactuca sativa (garden lettuce)
Lineage: Eukaryota; Viridiplantae; Streptophyta; Magnoliopsida; Asterales; Asteraceae
Source: RefSeq, a predicted model, not a curated record